AUGCCUCUCAUUUACAUAAAUAUUAUACUAGAAUUUACCAUCUCACUUCUAGGAAUACUAGUAUAUCGCUCACACCUGAUAUCCUCCCUACUAUGCCUAGAAGGAAUAAUACUAUCACUAUUCAUUAUAGCCACUCUCAUAACCCUCAACACCCACUCCCUCUUAGCCAAUAUUGUACCUAUCGCCAUACUAGUCUUUGCUGCCUGCAAGGCAGCAGUAGGCCUAGCCCUACUAGUCUCAAUCUCCAACACGUAUGGCCUAGACUACGUACAUAACCUAAGCCUACUCCAAUGCUAA
RNAcentral lists this long non-coding RNA (297 nucleotides) under Homo sapiens (human). RNAcentral describes it as "non-protein coding lnc-PITX1-4:1". Lineage: Eukaryota; Metazoa; Chordata; Mammalia; Primates; Hominidae. The record is from RNAcentral.